Long non-coding RNA from Hibiscus syriacus, 2052 nucleotides. RefSeq lists it as uncharacterized. The transcript has 4 exons. Lineage: Eukaryota; Viridiplantae; Streptophyta; Magnoliopsida; Malvales; Malvaceae. The record is from RefSeq and is a predicted model, not a curated record.
UUUGCUUUAAAACCGAGAGAAGAGAGAGAAUGAGAGAUUAGUUCUCUCAAAUCUUUCAUUGGGGAUGGAAUGGCCUCCCCUUUCACUCUGAGCCCUAAUCUAAAGUUCCAUUCCCCGAAAACCAACCAGAAAACCCUAGAUCUAAGAUAAUACCUCUCGGGAAAAGAUGACUCCGGUGACCUUUGGUGUUCCCGGCUGACUUUGAACCCCCGGUGGUCAUUGUUCGAGAGAUGGGCUAUGAUCGACACAGACAGCACUCGGCGGCUGGGGAGUUGAAGAGUCGGCAGCGACUAAUUUGGUAUGAAAUAGGGUUUCGAAAACCCUACAACUACUAGGUUGUCACAUGGGCUCGAGUCGGAUCCCCUUUGGGUCGGGUUGAGCUAUUGGAUCGGGUCCCAAUUGGAUUGCUGAUGUAAUCUGGGUCUGGGGCUUAAAACAGAUAGAAGGAUAUUGCUACUAACAUGUGCACAAGCUCGCCUUCAUUUCUCCAUUACAGUUUUCUGGAUUCUUUGGGCCCCAACACUGGUGGUAAGAUUGUAUCUGUUGUUUCAACAGCAUAUGAUUAGUACUCAGUUUUUGUGUUUCUUCCCUUUAGGUUUCCAAAUUAUCUUCUUGGAAGCUUGAUUCUUUGAAGUAUAAUGUUUGAAGGUGAUUUUUAUAUGUGGGUUAGUCUGAUGAUCGACAAGUGUAUCUAGGUUUGAUAUAUCCAUGCGUGCUGGGGGCAAGGAUGUUAGGAAGCACAGUGUUUCCCUGGCUUAUUGAUGCUUCGUUUUGGACUGAGGAUUGCCUAAUGUAUGCAUUUGUCACACAGUCUCUUCUUUUGUCAAUUAUAGCUUAUGAUUAUCAGAUAUGUUUGUGCUGCCCCUGUAAUUAUUUGUGAAUUUAUAAAUUAGGGACCCUAGUAUUUAUUCCAGCCAUGGCCUCAGUGUUCUUGUACAUUGGAGUUCUGGUGACCCAUUUUUCUUUAUUCCAUGCCUGCAUUGGCCUAAUUGUGCCUUCACUUGCAAGAUUGAGGACCAUGUAUGUGUCAAAUGAGUUGCGUGGAGGUAUGAUAAGCCUUUCUCUGACUCCUGCAAAUGCAGCAGUUCUGUUUCUUAUAAUACAGGUGUGUCCCUGAGUAAUUUAUGCAUCCGUGUUCAUCUGCAUGCAGAUGGGAAAUGGAAGUAUGAAACAAAAUACACCUCUGCAGCCUGCUUUCAUCUGCUGCUGUCUUAAAUUAGCUAAGAAUGACUUAGGCAUUGUGUUUUCCCUGGGGCCUAUGCGGCUAUGCUUGCCCCUAGUUUGGAUCACUUGAGGGUAGGAAAACAAGCUUGGGGAUCCCCUCAAUAAAUCUUGUGGAAAAUUUUGGAGUAUGAUAUAUGAUACUAUUUUUUUCUGAUGAACUUACUGGCUAGGUUCUUCAUGUUGCAGAGAGGAUAUUACCGGACCAUUGAGAACUCAACAAUGAUAGUUUUUACUGCAGUUGGAUUAUUCAUGGUGGCUGGUUGCAUGUAUGUUUUGAAACGGGGUGGAAAGCAACCUUAUCAAAACAGGCACAAAUUAUGAAUGUUUCGUAUCCCAGUGUUGAUGGUUUUCCUGGAGUCUGUCAAUAGUCGCUGAUUAAACUGAAGGCUUAAAGAGAAGUUACCUUUGACUUUCAAAUUACUACUUGCAUGGUAUGCCAAAAGGCUAAAAAGGAAGAACUUGUUGUCAAGUUGCAGAUUAACCAAGGUAAAGCGAUAACCUCCCAAGAUAUUAACAUGAGAAAUACAAGCAAAGAGAAUUCAGCUGGUAUCAAUGGCUUUUGAAUACCAUUGCAAGUAUUAUUCAAUAAAGUGAAUGUGUUUUACAAACAAAUUUUGUUCUGCUCUGCAAGUUCAGCUUCGAAGUAUAAGAGGAUGCAGCAGCAGCUUAAAGGUGACUCAAUGCAUCAGUUGGCCUCUGAUUGUUAAGGUAAAUUUUUUUUACAGGAAUUUAUAUUAAUAGAGUUGCAAAAGCCUCGGGCUUGAAAGAUUCACUGAGAGAAUCAUAACUUUGUUUUAUUGUCUGUUAUGUUAUCCCGAUUUUUUUAAA